UUUUCUGAAUGCGGCUUCUGCCUACUUGAACAACUGAGGUAGUAGACGAGGUGAGAGAGGGUGAAAGGAAAAAGGGAUGGAUCAAAUAUGCUUCACCUGCACAACUCCCUCGACCCAACCACCUCCCUCCUCUCCGUCACUCUCAUCAAUCACCGUCAACCCCUCCUCCCUUCUCCACUCCUCCUCCAUCUCCCCCCUCUUUUUCUUUCGCCUCCGUCCUUUCUUACGUCUCUUCCACUCGCCCCUCCUCCUCCCUUCCCAACCCCAACGUCGCCGCCACCACCAACAACAACCCCAACACCACCACCAACAAUGCCUCCUCCGACUACUCUGUCUCCGCCUUCCGCGCGUACUGGCAUAUGUUAUUUUGGGGAUUUUACUCUGGGUUCUGUUUUACUCAAUAGUUAGGUUUUACUGAGGUAUCGAAAGCACACACAUCUGCUGCAAUAGAGAGGUCAGAGACAUAAUCGCCAGGAGGUGCAUGUCCCUCUUUCACAUCUGGCCUCAAUUAGAGAAGUGGCCCAGUUAACCAUGCACGAAUAUAUUUGGUACAAGAAGAUAUGGGAUUUGAUGGUCGAUCCUCUGAGGAGUCCCUCACCUUUGAGCCAACCAUGACAUGGAAGGGAAAGGGCUCCUCGCUAGAAGCUGAAGAGUUUUUGCCUGAUGGUGAUACAUUGAAGGAAAGCAGUUAUUCAUUUGAGGAUGGUGGUCCAAGUUUAUUUGCUGGUGCUAGUCAUCCCCCAAAGCCUGUUGAUACAGAUCUUAUGAGAACAGUUUAUGUACCGAUAGGUCAAAACAAAUCGGAGGCUGGUUGCUUGAUCAAGAGCUUACCCACAAAGGGCCAUUUUUUUGGAAGAUCUCUCAAUUCGUGUUUCUGCAAAGAAACCAAAUCCAGCUGUUCUUACCCCUGAGCAAAAGUUCAGCUUGUAAUCUUUGAUAACUCCAGUGAUGUUACAGGAGUUGAAAUAGGAGGUGCACUCAAGAAUGUGCUUGCAAUAGCAGCUGAGAUAGUAGAAGGUAUGAUCAAUCUUGGUAAUAACUCAAUGGCUUGUCUCGCAAGGCUGUUCGGAGAUACAGUGGCUUGCAACAAAGACAGGUUUCUUGGGGGAGAUGUAAAAACAUAUUGGCCAACAAAACAGCUUCAAAGUAAGGAGCUCCUGGUGAUCCUUAUCCCCUGAAUAAUGCUGCUCCACCUGUUCCUGUUCCUGCUCCAUCCUUUGAUAAUUUUUCAGCUGAUCAAGUUGACCACAAGGCUCAUGUACCCUACGUAUGGAUCAUUGGGGGCUUAUGAGUUGGUCUAAUUCUAAUUGUAUUAGCUGUGAUUCUCUGUGUUUGUAUGAGAUCAUCAAAUUGUUUUGCUGAAGAUGCCAGAACUCAUGAGAAAGACGUUGAGGGCAAAAUUUCUCAUAAAUUCCAUAUUCUAAGGAAGCCAAGUUUUUUUGUGGUUUUGGAAGGUACAUAUGUGGCAAGCAUGUUGAACAGAAACCCCGAGUUCAAAAAUACCCGUUGGUCGCCGCCAUCUCCUCGAGACCACCCAGCCUUCGAGGAACUCACAUCCCUCCCCAACAUGUGCGGCGCCAUCGACACCACUCUCGUCCACCUCCGCUCCACCCUAACCUCAACACCUAUUGUUGUCGCUACGGCUACCCCUCUCUAUUCCUCCAAGUUGUUUCCGAUCACAAGAAGAUCUUUUGGGACGUCUGCGUCAAGGCCCUUGACGACACUGACGACGCCACCCACUUCCGUGACAGCCUCCUCUACAACUGCCUCACCUUCGGCGACAUCGUCUGGGACAUUGUCAUUAGAGUUCGUGGCCAAAACGUGAGGCCUUACGUGGUCGGUGACUGGUGCUUCCCUUUACUGCCCUUUCUCCUCAUCCUAUUCUCCUCCAACGGGAUAGGCAGCCUCGCGCAUAACCUGUUUGAUGGAAUGCUCAUGAAGGGAAGGUCCGUGGUAGUGGAGGCCAUUAGGGGAGGUGGAAGGUACUGUCUCGAUUCUGAAGGAACCGAGGCAUAAAGUCCUGAAAAAAAAACCAAAAACACUACUACUUCGAUUACCAUUGAACCGAGACAAAAUCCUACCCCUUUAUGCCUGGUUCUGAAUCGAGGCAUAAAGGGGUAGACUUUUGUCUCGCCUGUAUAUGUUUCGGUUCCGAAAUCUCUGUCUAUGUGCGAAAAUAACCACUGACGUUUCCCUUAACUACACUAGUGAAGUAGUGAAACUUCAUGGACUGCCAAGAAGUAUUGUAAGUGAUAGGGAUACAAAAUUCCUAAGUUAUUUUUGGAGGACAUUAUGGGGUAGACUAGUUACCCAAGUUUUGUUUUUUACUACUUGUCAUUCCCAAACAAAUGGAUAAACAAAGGCGGUGAAUAGAACUUUGGGAACCUUACUUACAACAAUUUUGAAGAAAGACUUCAAAUCUUACGAAAAAAUGUUUACCUCAUGCUGAAUUUGCUUACAAUAGGGUUGUUUGUAGCAUAACUAAUUGUUCUCGAUUUGAAAUUGUGUAUGGACUAAACCCUUCAACUUCAUUAAGUUUUUACCUAUGCCUAACAUUUAUAUUUUAAAGCAUAAGGAUGCAGAGGCUAAUAUUAACUUUUUGAGGAAGCUACAUGAACAAGUCAAAACACAAAUUGAAAGGAAAAUUAAAGGUUAUUAUAAACAAGCUAACAAAGGAAGAAAAAAAAUAAUAUUGGAACCUAAAGACCGGGGAUGAGUAGACUUGAGAAAGAAAGGUUCCAUGAACAAGCUCCUACCUAGAGGGGAUGAACCUUUUCAAGUGUUGGAAAAAAUCAUUGACAAUUCCUACAAGAUUGAUUUAUCAAGUAAGUAAAUUGUGAGUAAUA
Long non-coding RNA from Vigna angularis (adzuki bean), 2846 nucleotides. RefSeq lists it as uncharacterized. The record is from RefSeq and is a predicted model, not a curated record. NCBI's taxonomy places the organism in Eukaryota, Viridiplantae, Streptophyta, Magnoliopsida, Fabales, Fabaceae. The transcript is spliced from 4 exons.